RNAcentral lists this ribosomal RNA (253 nucleotides) under uncultured bacterium. RNAcentral describes it as "partial 16S ribosomal RNA". It matches the Rfam family "Bacterial small subunit ribosomal RNA", at positions 524 to 776 of the family's 1533-position model. The record is from RNAcentral.
UACGUAGGGUGCGAGCGUUAAUCGGAAUUACUGGGCGUAAAGCGUGCGCAGGCGGUUCGUUGUGUCUGAUGUGAAAGCCCCGGGCUCAACCUGGGAAUGGCAUUUGGGACUGCAAGGCUGGAGUGUGGCAGAGGAGACUGGAAUUCCUGGUGUAGCAGUGAAAUGCGUAGAUAUCAGGAGGAAUACCGAUGGCGAAGGCAGGUCUCUGGGCUAACACUGACGCUCAUGCACGAAAGCGUGGGGAGCAAACAGG